UAUAAUCUCAUGCCUCUGGUGUUAUUUGGGAACAGAGUUGAGGAGGAAAAUGGCUCUCAGGAAGGCUCUUCCCCUUCCAUUGGGGGAUUCCUGCAGCUCCCCAGACUACUUUGCUCUGGGCAUGUAGGGGGGCUGAUCAGCAGAGCCCUGAUCCGCUGCCUCCUUGUCCUGUUAGGAAAACCCAGCUGAAAUCUGACUGUCUUCUGGAAUACUUUCUUAAUCAAAACUCUCAAGAGUGCCUCUGUGGUGGGGAACAAGGCUCACGUUGAGGCUUCUGCCUCUUCUGGGCUGUAGUGACAGAGCUACAGUGGAGGGGAGAUGGUUGGGCUUUCCAGGUAAGCCAUGAUCAUAUGGUUGACUUCAAUGUGUACGUAGUUUGCAGCCCUGUUAAUCAAAAAUCUGUGGAAGGUGAUCUGAGGUGGUGUUCCAACAAAGUCCAGGCCUGAUAACAGAGAGCUGAGCUUUUUAAUCAGUCAGUUGUGGGAUAUCUACAUUAUCUGUGUGGAGCAGCAGGCUGUUAGUUAAAUAUUGAUUUAGCAGAGGAGCUGUUCUCUUCCUGUUUGACCUCUGACUGCAAACACUGUGCUGCAGGUGGUAGGGACGUGCUUGUUGAGUUUUCCUUGGUUUUAAUUUAGAGGUAGUUUAAUAUGAGGGGCAAGGAAUAUUAAUAUAAUAUUUAAACUUCAAACUAACAAACAAAAGACUAUUUUUCAAACCAAGUUCUAUCUAGUGGCACCAGACCUCUCUCAAGUCUGACCAAAGUCCAGUCAACGUGGUAAAAGUUGAUGGGGAGAUCCUGGCUGUAGAAGAAGGGGCAUCUUUUUAACACUGCCUAAAACCAAUUUGCAAUGUUUAUUUCAGGACACAGGAGGCUCACACUGCUCCUGUUUCGUAUUUGGCUACACUUUACUCUGACGAAGCAGAGCACUGGGGCCGGCUAUCACUUGUCAGCCGAAGAUCCUCUCUGCAAAUCCCCCGUGUGUCAGUCGUCUUUUGUGCUUUAUUGUCUACCGUGACCAUAUGGACAUUUGUUUGACAGGAGUCUGUGACCCUCAAACAGUUUGGCUCUGCUCUGUUACGUGGUGUCUGACCAGGCUAUUGAAACCGAGCAACCAGCAGAACACUGCUUAAAGAGUCAUCUCUGUGGAUGGAGGAUGAACAUUAAUAUUCAUGAGCUGUUACUCAUUUACGCUGGAGUUGCUCAGGGACCUGUGCUCUUCAAGGAUGACAUUACAGUGACUUCCCUGCUCUUUACUUUAUGUGAAUACUUUUGAUUUGGAGCCCUGGUGUGCCAAAUCCUACUCGUAUUUUCAUUCAUGAGUUGCCUACCUGGAGUCAAAAUAGUAUUCUCAAAACCGUGCAAAGCUGAAUUAGGUUCUGGAUAUAACUUUGAAUACUUUUUCAUUGAUAUGUAAUAAUAAACUGCUGAUUUUAGAAACUGUGCCAUAAAAACUGCAAUGCUGUGCAAAGGCCAACACACAUUCCAUGUUUAUAUAAUAAAAAGUAUGUCCCAGUAUGUUGCUAAAUAUUGACAAAAUGAUUCCUUUGUCAGUGUUAUUUACCAAGCAUGGGUUUCCUGUAUCUGUUAUCCCAGAUAAACAUGAAAACAGCUUUCUGAGCCUAAACCUUGGUUGAAAAAACCUCACCCAGACAACAAAGGCCACAACAGCAUUCUGCUAUCCAAUCGCUUUCUUCAUGUUUUACAUUGGUACAAAUUAGUAUCCAUGGGUACUACUGUAGCAUAAUUUAAUAAUGAACAGUUGUAUCAGCUUUCUUUUUGUGAUAUAUGUGCACCCUUUUCCUCACUUUUCUGGUAAUGUUGCUAAGGACUGCUGUAUGUAUGAAGUUCCUCACGGGUCAGUAUUGGGACUGGCACUCUUUAACAUCUUUGUUGGCAACAUGGACAGUG
Long non-coding RNA from Aquila chrysaetos chrysaetos, 1909 nucleotides. RefSeq lists it as uncharacterized. The record is from RefSeq and is a predicted model, not a curated record. The transcript has 4 exons. NCBI's taxonomy places the organism in Eukaryota, Metazoa, Chordata, Aves, Accipitriformes, Accipitridae.